RNAcentral lists this long non-coding RNA (242 nucleotides) under Carica papaya (papaya). Its description in RNAcentral is "long non-coding RNA (CPAP_LNC010076)". Lineage: Eukaryota; Viridiplantae; Streptophyta; Magnoliopsida; Brassicales; Caricaceae. The record is from RNAcentral.
CUACUAUUAAUACUUCCACUAAAGGUUCUAGCCUAAUAUCAAGUUUACAAGUAAAUACACAGGAGAUAAAAGAGUGAGAAGCAUGUAGCACCUGUAUAGGUCAAAGCCUUGGUAGAAGUAUCAUACCAGAAAGUAUACCCAAGAUAAGAACAGGAGUGGGGAGAGUACAGAGUUCAUCUAGGUGGUACACAUGACCCUGUGUUAUACUCCUGGCCACAUCCUUUGGGUUGCUGGGGGUAGCC